CGGGUGAGUAACACGUGAGCAACCUACCUUACACAGGGGGAUAGCCGUUGGAAACGACGAUUAAUACCGCAUGAGACCACAGAAUCGCAUGAUAUAGGGGUCAGAGAUUUAUCGGUGUAAGAAGGGCUCGCGUCUGAUUAGCUAGUUGGAAGGGUAAAGGCCUACCAAGGCGACGAUCAGCAGCCGGUCUGAGAGGAUGAACGGCCACAUUGGAACUGAGACACGGUCCAA
Molecule: ribosomal RNA, 231 nt
Filed under: uncultured bacterium
Lineage: Bacteria
Description: partial 16S ribosomal RNA
Rfam family: Bacterial small subunit ribosomal RNA
Source: RNAcentral